CUAGGAGAUAACAUGGAGGAGGGGGGGAACCUAGGAGAUAACAUGGAGGAGGGGGGGGAACCUAGGAGAUAACAUGGAGGAGGGGGGAACCUAGGAGAUAACAUGGAGGAGGGGGGAACCUAGGAGAUAACAUGGAGAGGGAUGGGGGGAUAAAGUGCAUAUGUCAUACACAUUUUUGGCAAAGCUUUCAUGUACAGUACAAAUGUUUGUGUAUGCGAGGGAGAGAGAGUGUGUGUGUGUGUGUGUGUGUGUGUGUGUGUGUGUGUGUGUGUGUGUGUGUGUGUGCGUGAGCGUGUGCGCGUGCGCGUGCGCGUGCGUGUGUGUGUUUUAGGGGGGUAACUCUUUGAAGGACUCGUUCUGUUUUAUUAAAGGGGAGGUUUCAGAUACCUGUUAUCACCAUUCUAAAGACUACUUCCUGUCAAUAUAUUAAAGGGGAGGUUUCAGAGACCUACAUCCUGUCAAUAUAUUAAAGGGGAGGUUUCAGAGACCUGUUAUCACCAUUCUAAAGACUACUUCCUGUCAAUAUAUUAAAGGGGAGGUUUCAGAGACCUACAUCCUGUCAAUAUAUUAAAGGGGAGGUUUCAGAGACCUGUUAUCACCAUUCUAAAGACUACUUCCUGUCAAUAUAUUAAAGGGGAGGUUUCAGAGACCUACAUCCUGUCAAUAUAUUAAAGGGGAGGUUUCAUUAUAAUACCACCAAAUAAAUCGGGCCUUGAAUUUCCUCAACUGUGCAUUGUAUGUUUGAAUAUUUGCACCCACCAGACGUAACACUAUUAAAAUGUAGCUUGGAGACAUACAGUCUGUGUGUUACCGAUCUAUAUUAACCUCCCACCCCAUCUAGGAUGUUAUAUUUCUAUGGUUCAGAGUAGGAUCCCAGAUCAGCUAUCCUACUGUAUCACUCAUAAUGAAUCAGACUGGGUACCUGAUCCCAGAUCUGAGACUACGCCACCUGGUUCCCAGUAACACCGUGUAAAGGCUGGUUCUCUGAGACUCAUAAUGAAUACACCACCUGGUUCCCAGUAACACCGUGUAAAGGCUGGUUCUCUGAGACUCGUAAUGAAUACACCACCUGGUUCCCAGUAACACCGUGUAAAGGCUGGUUCUCUGAGACUCAUAAUGAAUACACCACCUGGUUCCCAGUAACACCAUGUAAAGGCUGGUUCUCUGAGACUCAUAAUGAAUACACCGCCUGGUUCCCAGUAACACCAUGUAAAGGCUGGUUCUCUGAGACUCAUAAUGAAUACACCGCCUGGUUCCCAGUAACACCGUGUAAAGGCUGGUUCUCUGAGACUCAUAAUGAAUACACCGCCUGGUAUCCAGUAACACCAUGUAAAGGCUGGUUCUCUGAGACUCAUAAUGAAUACACCACCUGGUUCAUUCUCCUGAGUGAUCGGAUUAUUAUCAAUUAAAAGCUCCC
This 1417-nucleotide long non-coding RNA is filed under the name Salmo salar (Atlantic salmon). RNAcentral's name for it is "lncRNA (ENSSSAG00000113625.1)". Lineage: Eukaryota; Metazoa; Chordata; Actinopteri; Salmoniformes; Salmonidae. The record is from RNAcentral.